UUUGUAUUCAAGUAUUGAUGUAGUUGACAGGGGGAGACCAUGUCUUGCAAUAAAUCGUAAAAAUACUUGAUUUUUAGUCAUGUGUACAUUACAUCAUACUUAUAUACAUGUCGAGGACAACUACUUUUUAUAUGACUUGGAUGCACAAUUAUCAUGUUCAUGAUGUUUCAUAAUGCUCAUUACAACAAAGAAAAAUGAAAAAUGACAAAAAAAAUCGCUUUUAGUUUAAAGAAACUUUUUUUUGAAGCGGGGA
Molecule: long non-coding RNA, 253 nt
Filed under: Brachypodium distachyon (stiff brome)
Lineage: Eukaryota; Viridiplantae; Streptophyta; Magnoliopsida; Poales; Poaceae
Description: long non-coding RNA (BDIS_LNC001054)
Source: RNAcentral